AACGAACGCUGGCGGCAGGCUUAACACAUGCAAGUCGAGCGCCCCGCAAGGGGCGCGGCCGACGGGUGAGUAACGCGUGGGAACGUACCUUUUGGUUCGGAACAACUCCGGGAAACUGGAGCUAAUACCGGAUAAGCCCUAACGGGGAAAGAUUUAUCGCCGAAAGAUCGGCCCGCGUCUGAUUAGCUAGUUGGUGAGGUAACGGCUCACCAAGGCGACGAUCAGUAGCUGGUCUGAGAGGAUGAUCAGCCACACUGGGACUGAGACACGGCCCAGACUCCUACGGGAGGCAGCAGGGGGGAAUAUUGGACAAUGGGCGCAAGCCUGAUCCAGCCAUGCCGCGUGAGUGAUGAAGGCCUUAGGGUUGUAAAGCUCUUUUGUCCGGGAAGAUAAUGACUGUACCGGAAGAAUAAGCCCCGGCUAACUUCGUG
This 431-nucleotide ribosomal RNA is filed under the name uncultured bacterium. RNAcentral's name for it is "partial 16S ribosomal RNA". It matches the Rfam family "Bacterial small subunit ribosomal RNA", at positions 29 to 507 of the family's 1533-position model. The record is from RNAcentral.